Molecule: unclassified non-coding RNA, 406 nt
Filed under: Hevea brasiliensis (rubber tree)
Lineage: Eukaryota; Viridiplantae; Streptophyta; Magnoliopsida; Malpighiales; Euphorbiaceae
Source: RNAcentral
UGUGUUUGGGUCGAAAGAUGGAUUAUGUUGUCUCCAUUGCUGAUAAUUUUUUCUGCUUAACUGGUUAGUAUUCUUAUUUAGUAUUUAUAUUAGUCUUGUAUUAGUCCUUUCUAUCAAUGUGUGGUAUGAUAUGUUUGAAUUCGUCUGAAACUCGUGUGUUGGUUGUGAAUAAUUAUGUGUUUCCAUCUAUGUAGCUCUCGCCUUUAGUAUUUUGUUUAGCAGGUUUGAACUAAAAGCUCAAGAGAUGAAUAGUCGCUUGACAUGGGUUUCCGGACAAGAUUUAGUUUAUUAUUAUAUUUCUAUUGCUCCAUUUUUAGUUUGCUAUUGUAAUACAUGUAGUAACUCUAACUCUCUAAUAUUAUUAAAUAACCCGGGGAAUCGCCUAAGGGCGAAGGAGUUACGCGCA